GUUUCUCUUUAUUAAUUUAGGUUAUUUCCUUUGUGCAAAAAUUAAAAAGCAAAAAACACUGCUAUUCAAGUUGCAGGCGAGCGUCCGUUGUAUUCCACGCCGGGUUCCUGGGAGUCACAUUAUUUCAGUCCUCUUUUGAAUCUGUCAGUGGAGAUCGGAAACUUUUUAAGUUGCUGUCCUCGGCUCCGUUACAACGCUCCCGUGUCGGUAACUCCCUUCAUCCAAAAACGACCGAAUUCAAAUCCAACUUUGCCAUCAGUUUGUUGCGGUGAGUUCUGCUGCAAGAUUCUAGUGAUCCCCCAAAUGCGCGUAGACCCCCGAACCUCAGCGGAGGGAGCACGACUUCACGUUCAGCGCGUUUCAUUCAGGAGAGCGGAAUGCCUCGUCAAUUGGUAUGUGCCAUUCUACCCCCCCCCCCCCCCCCCCUCAGUAGAGCGAACAAUGUAUCCCAGGGAGGAAAUUUAACCUCUUCCAGCCUGGAUCCCACCCCGGCGCACGGUGGGUUGAUGUGUUUGGAGCUCUGAGAGGGAAUACAAGAUUGUUUCCCGCUCGUAUGAUGUGUCCCAGCGUCGAGUGGGAACCGAGCCCCCCCCCCCCCCCCCCCCCCCCCCCCCGCGGGCACCCUGCUGGGGCGUCCCUCCUUCAAACGCCGCCAGACCCCGAGAAAAACGGCCGAGUCCCCCGCGAGGAGGCGGGAGGGAGGAGCUGGUGCUGGGGCGACACGAGGGCCCCCGGUG
Molecule: long non-coding RNA, 737 nt
Organism: Gadus macrocephalus (Pacific cod)
Lineage: Eukaryota; Metazoa; Chordata; Actinopteri; Gadiformes; Gadidae
Exons: 2
Source: RefSeq, a predicted model, not a curated record